UGGGGAAUAUUGCACAAUGGGCGAAAGCCUGAUGCAGCAACGCCGCGUGAGUGAUGAAGGCCUUCGGGUUGUAAAGCUCUGUCUUUUGGGACGAUAAUGACGGUACCAAAGGAGGAAGCCACGGCUAACUACGUGCCAGCAGCCGCGGUAAUACGUAGGUGGCAAGCGUUGUCCGGAUUUACUGGGCGUAAAGGAUGCGUAGGCGGAUUUUUAAGUGAGAUGUGAAAACCCUAAGCUUAACUUGGGGACUGCAUUUCAUACUGGAAAUCUAGAGCGCGGGAGAGGAGAAUGGAAUUCCUAGUGUAGCGGUGAAAUGCGUAGAGAUUAGGAAGAACACCAGUGGCGAAGGCGAUUCUCUGGACCGUAACUGACGCUGAGGCAUGAAAGCGUGGGUAGCAAACAGGAUUAGAUACCCUGGUAGUCCACGCCGUAAACGAUGAGUACUAGGUGUAGGAGGUAUCGACCCCUUCUGUGCCGCAGUUAACACAAUAAGUACUCCGCCUGGGAAGUACGAUCGCAAGAUUAAAACUCAAAUGAAUUGACGGGGUCAUAGCUG
Molecule: ribosomal RNA, 556 nt
Filed under: uncultured bacterium
Lineage: Bacteria
Description: partial 16S ribosomal RNA
Rfam family: Bacterial small subunit ribosomal RNA
Source: RNAcentral